AGGAUGGGACCACAGCCAGAACUCUAUGCCACACCAGAAUUUACUUAUUCAACACAUAUUUCUGAGUGUCAACUCUGUGCCAAGUAUCGUUUUAGUUUUACAGCAGUGAACAAAAUACACAAUGUGCCUGACCUAUGAAUAUUACUAUUGUUGACGUGACAACAAUGAAUGAAUAACAAAACAGAUUUAUAUAAGCCAGGUUGUAUAAGUGUUAUAGAGAAAAAUGAAAUAAGUGUUUAGCCAGGGUUCCCUAGAGGGACAGAACUAAUAGGAUAGAUGUAUAUAUGAGGGGGAGUUUAUUAAAGAUUAUUGACUCACACAAUCACAAGGUCCCACAAUAGGCCAUCUGCAGGCUGAGGAACAAGGAAGCCAGUCCGAGUCCCAAAACCUCAAAAGUAAGGAAGUGGACAGUUUAGCCUUCAGUCUGUGGCUGAAGGCCCGAGAGACUGUGGCAAACCACUGGUGUAGGUUCAAGAGGCCAAGAGCUGGAAAACUUGGAGUCUGAUGUUUGAGGGCAGGAAGCAUCCAGCACAAGAGGAGGAUGAAGGCUAGAAGACACAGCAAGUCUGCUCCUUCCAAGUUCUUCUGCCUGCUUUAUUCUAACCAGGCUGGCAGCUGAUUAGAUGGUGCCCACUCAGAUUAAAGAUAGGUAUUGGGAGAAGGAGAGGCUGUCAACCCACGCCACUAUGCUAUCUCUAACUCUGCCAUCCAGACCGAGCAAACGUACUUAAGACCUUUGUGUAAGAUCAGAAAAUCAUAAGACAGCAUUAAAAGUACUAUACAGGAGGAGAUGGAACAAGAUGGCCAAAUAGAAGCCUCCAGCAAUCAUCUCCCCCAAAGGAAUUGAACAACUAUCAAAACAAAAUUGAACAACUAUCUAAACAAAAAAAGUACCUUCAUAAAAAGCAAAAAUCAGGACACAGUGUUCUGCCUCUCCUGAGUAAGCAGCAACAAGGCACCAUCUUGGAAUCAGAGGGCAGCCCUCACCAGACAACUAAAUCUGCAGACACCUUGGACUUCCCAGCCUCCAGAACUGUCUUUCUGGCAACUGUCUAAACAUAAACCAGAGAAGGGCAAGGCAGACUCAGGAAGGACAAAUAGAAGGCUAUUUUCAUAAAUCGGGCCAAAGAGCUGUACAGCAGAAAUUACAAAGGAAGCAUUUGAUGAUGUACCCAAGAGGGUGCCCCAGUCCUCCCAUAGACGAUGCAAGGCAUACCAGAGACCCAGAAAUGUCUGUGUGGCUCAGUGGGGAAAUGUGGAGAGGCCACAAAAACCUAGAGGGGACUCUGAUUGGGAAAAGGAAGCUACACAGCCUAGGGACUUUACUCCUUGAGGCAACUGGCAAGAAGUGAUACAUUAGAAGUUAAUGCCAGCGAAAUAUUCAACAAGGUUAGGUAUAACCAGCCACAUCUCAGAGGACACCAGUAUACGGCCUUUGGGGACCAAACCAACCCCUCCGAAGCAAAGAACAUCAAGAAUGUGGAAAGUGCCCUCAACUCCUGCCACAUGAGGAUGGAUGCAACCUCCUCCUGCACAUUGGAAAGAAGGAUCAGGGAGGGACCAGCCUAUGGUAGCAGGAGGCACAGCCAAAAUAGGGCUCUAAAUUGCUGAAAGUUAUUUACUCACAAGAGAUGAACUAUCUUAACUUGGAAAAGUUGUUUACCCUGCCUUCACCUGGAAUUGAAAUUGUCUGCUAAAUAAAAUAAAGGAAAUUAUAAAAUAUGUUACACAUACAG
Pan troglodytes (chimpanzee) is the source of this 1736-nucleotide long non-coding RNA. RefSeq lists it as uncharacterized. NCBI's taxonomy places the organism in Eukaryota, Metazoa, Chordata, Mammalia, Primates, Hominidae. The transcript is spliced from 6 exons. The record is from RefSeq and is a predicted model, not a curated record.